Lutra lutra (Eurasian river otter) is the source of this 1368-nucleotide long non-coding RNA. RefSeq lists it as uncharacterized. The record is from RefSeq and is a predicted model, not a curated record. The transcript is spliced from 4 exons. NCBI's taxonomy places the organism in Eukaryota, Metazoa, Chordata, Mammalia, Carnivora, Mustelidae.
GCGACAAAGGAGGAGGUGAUAGCAUCCGGGGCCGCGACGCCGGAAGAUGAGGCUGGCGGCCACUUCCCUAAGCCCGGAAAACCCCGGAGUCACCGCCUCUGCGCGGCCGAGCCCAUUCCCCGGAGCCGCUCCUGCCGCCCUCUUGCUUCCGCUCGGAGUGACCGGGUCCCGGGGCUGCGCGUCCGCGCGCCUCCCGCCUGACCCGGGGCUGGGCUUCCUCGUCAGCUCGCUCCGCAAAGCCGGGUUGUUUGGAAAGGACCAGUAAAAUAGAUCAAACUCUUGGCUAGCCAGACUAAGGCUCCAGAUCCAGGAUGGAGUCCAACACAGGACCGUCAAUUCCCAACCUUGAGAUUCAGAACUGAGCUGAGAUCAAGAGUGAGAUGCUCAACCAUCUGAGUCACUCAGUGCCCCUUCAGGAGCCAUUCUUAAUAAAUAUUUCAAAAAUAUAGUUUCAGCUAUGGACAUGGCUGAGAGACAGUAAUUUCCAGUUUCUCCUGAAGCUCAGUGCAGCCAUAUGACUGUGUUUGCACCGGUGGAAUAUGCAUGGAUGUGAUGAGGUCAGCCUAUCGCUCAGUUGCUUAAAAGGAAGUUGUUUAUCCUAGACUUUUCUCCCACCCUGUUCCUCACCGUUUGGAACAAAGAUUUAACUGUAACUCCACUUCAGCCAUGCAGAUGAGUAGAACACUCCAGUAGAUGCCAGGGCAAUAAGAUGAAAGGAACAUGGAUCACUGAACAACCUGGAGGAGAAGGGUAUUUGUUUCACCUGUCCGGACUAGUCAGCCACUAUGGUCCUUCCUCAGCAGGACUUGGCCUUUCUUCACUUGAUCAGUUCUGGGUCUGAGAAACUGCUCAGGGAUGGAAACUUGACAAAGGAUCAUGAUUUUUCCACUGGGACAACUGACAGGCUACUGUUCAAGUAGUCUUAAUUUGUUUAUCUUUAUUUUUUUAGUUUUAUAAGAAAUACUCUUGCUGGUUUCUGUUAUGAGCUGCAUUGUGUUCUCCCAAAAUUCAUAUGUUGAAGUCCUACUGUGACAUAUUUGGAGAUAGGGCCUUUAAGGACAUAAUUAAGGUAGAAUGAGGUAAUUUGGGUAGGCCCGAAUCCGAUAUUACUGGUGUCCUUAUAAGAAUAAUAAAUUAGGGUACAGACCACACAGAGACUAAGGAGGCAACCAUGUGAGGACCCAGUGAGAAGGCGGCCAUCUUCAAGCCAAGGAAAGAGGCCUCAGAAGAAACUGACCAUACCAACAAUUUGACCUUGGACUUCUAAUUUCUAGAACAGUGAGGAAGAAACUGACCCUGCCAACAAUUUGAUCUUGGACAUCUAGCUUCCAGAACUCUGAGGAAAUAAAUUUCUGUUCUUUAAGCUGC